GUGCGUCUUCAGGGCGGGGUGAAAUUCCCCACCGGCGGUAAGCCAGCAGCGCGAAAGCGCGAGCCGGCGAGCCCGCGAGCGCCCGCAUCGCGUGUUCUUCGCAUCAGCGAAGACCGUGGCGGGGUCAGCAGAUCUGGUGAGAAGCCAGAGCCGACGGUCAUAGUCCGGAUGGAAGAAGAUGUGC
RNAcentral lists this non-coding RNA (184 nucleotides) under Paraburkholderia susongensis. RNAcentral's name for it is "FMN sequence". It matches the Rfam family "FMN riboswitch aptamer (RFN element)". From Rfam's summary of the family: The RFN element is a highly conserved domain that is found frequently in the 5'-untranslated regions of prokaryotic mRNAs that encode for flavin mononucleotide (FMN) biosynthesis and transport proteins. This element is a metabolite-dependent riboswitch that directly binds FMN in the absence of proteins. In Bacillus subtilis, the riboswitch most likely controls gene expression by causing premature transcription termination within the 5' untranslated region of the ribDEAHT operon and precluding access to the ribosome-binding site of ypaA mRNA. The record is from RNAcentral. Lineage: Bacteria; Pseudomonadati; Pseudomonadota; Betaproteobacteria; Burkholderiales; Burkholderiaceae.